This 862-nucleotide ribosomal RNA is filed under the name uncultured archaeon. Its description in RNAcentral is "bacterial SSU rRNA". It matches the Rfam family "Archaeal small subunit ribosomal RNA", at positions 1 to 872 of the family's 1478-position model. The record is from RNAcentral.
UUCCGGUGAUCCUGCCGGACCUGACUGCUAUCGGAUUGGUACUAAGCCAUGUGAGUCGUUGUAGCAAUACAAGGCAUACGGCUCAGUAACACGUAGUCAAUCUAACCUAUGGACGGGGAUAACCUCGGGAAACUGAGGAUAAACCCCGAUAGAUCAUAAUGCCUGGAACGGUUUAUGGUCCAAAUGAUUCGUCGCCGUAGGGUGGGACUGCGGCCUAUCAGCUUGUUGGUGAGGUAAUGGCCCACCAAGGCUAUUACAGGUACGGGCUCUGAGAGGAGUAGCCCGGAGAUGGGUACUGAGACACGGACCCAGGCCCUAUGGGGCGCAGCAGGCGAGAAACCUUUGCAAUGUGCGCAAGCACGACAAGGUUAAUCCGAGUGUUUCCUGCUAAAGGAAUCUUUUGCUAGUCCUAAAAACACUAGCGAAUAAGGGGUGGGCAAGUUCUGGUGUCAGCCGCCGCGGUAAAACCAGCACCUCAAGUGGUCAGGAGGAUUAUUGGGCCUAAAGCAUCCGUAGCCUGCUCUGUAAGUUUCCGGUUAAAUCCAUUAGCUUAACUGAUGGGCCGCCGGAAAAACUGCAAAGCUAGGGAGUGGGAGAGGUAGACGGUACUCGGUAGGAAGGGGUAAAAUCCUUUGAUCUAUUGAUGACCACCUGUGGCGAAGCGGUCUACCAGAACACGUUCGACGGUGAGGGAUGAAAGCUGGGGGAGCAAACCGGAUUAGAUACCCGGGUAGUCCCAGCUGUAAACGAUGCAGACUCGGUGAUGCCCUGGCUUGUGGCCAGUGCAGUGCCGCAGGGAAGCCGUUAAGUUUGCCGCCUGGGAAGUACGUACGCAAGUAUGAAACUUAAAGGAAUUGGCGGG